Long non-coding RNA from Numida meleagris (helmeted guineafowl), 4080 nucleotides. The record is from Ensembl. Lineage: Eukaryota; Metazoa; Chordata; Aves; Galliformes; Numididae.
CUUCACUCCCUCCUUCAGGAUGACUCUCUCCAUUUUGCCUUCUAGGAACUGCUCCUGUGGUACCUUCUUACUUGGUCCCAUCCUUGCUGAGGUUGUGUGCUACCUCGAGUUCUGGCUGGACGAAGCCUUGCUAAGGAGAAACCUUCUACUUGAUGUCAACAUGGCUCUGGCCCCGUUUGAUUUUCUCAGUGGGAGAGGCUCCUCUCCUGCAGACAUUAGAUUUGGUGGAGGAGGUUGUCUGAACACUAGUGAUCCCUAAUUCAUGACCCUUGGGAUGUGUGGGGGGCAAGACAUGUGUCCUUUUCCACCCGUGUGCCCCAGCUCUUCUUCGUGACUCACUGAAGAGCUCUCCUAGUCAUGCCUAGUGGGAUGGAAAGAGGCAAAGAGUGCAUCAAAGUGCUCCUUGUCACCUCUCUUCAGGAAUUCCAGAGAGCAACUUAAGUUUGGCUGAUUCUUUACCUGAAAGAGCCACGGUUUCACCAAGGUUUGGUGGUUCACUAUUGAAAAAGAGAGCCUAGGAGAUCCCUACAAAUCUGGACUGGGUGUCCCUCCUACCAUGGAAAAUAAAUGAGGACAACAGCUGACGCUGCUAGAAGAAAUCACUUUUCUGCAGCAGUAUCUACCAUUUCACAUACAUGAGCAGCUCAACCCAAUGAGGGUCAACCCAACUCUACAGACUCCAGGCAAAGGGAAGGCACUCGUCACAACUAAUUACGACUGUGCUGGAGGAGGCAGUCUCCAGUCACUUAGUGUGCUUCUGGAAAGAGUUUCCAUGCCAGGAAGGAUGACCAGCCCUCAGCAUCUGCACAGGGGUCAAGAACAGGGCCAAGAGCUGAAAGCGGUAGAGGAUGUGGUGGCAGCUCAAGGCAGGCACAGAGCUAACAGAAACACUGAUCGACAUGAGGAAUGCUUCCAUAGAAAUGCCUCCCCAGCUUCCAUCACCUGCCCAUCUUUGGAGCAUCCUCCCUGCUUUGAGGAAAGAAGAGAACUCAUCCCAGACCCGGAGCUGCAGAAAGAUGGUACCAGCCUUGCACAUUCAGCAGCUGUUUUUCCUGAGGCUGGAAGGCAGCUAUCAGUCAAAAUUAACACUGCAUGAAUGCCUGCAGUAAAGGUUUUUCACUGCUGAACAAUAACAGGAUGGAAAAGGAGAAGGGAAGCAGCGUAGAUGGAGAGAACAGGCUCAUGCAGGGGACAAGGAUGAAGGGGGAUUUCCACCUCUCAGUGGAGUUUGAGAACAUCUGCAUUUCAACUCCUGCUCUGCCAUAGAUUUAUUGUAUUAGAAAGGAUCAGGGUGUUACAGACAGACCAAGGUCUCGUAGAUUCUCCUCCAGAACAUGAGACUCAUACACUGGCUGAUGUAAGCAGCUACAAAUGGGUCCAGAAACAGCCACACUGGGAGCUGCAAUUUUAAUUUCCAUGGUAGUUCUGAUGCUGUCCCCUCUUUGCUGGGGUCACAUUGUCAGGAACUGAUUGACUCUGUAUACAGGACAAGAGGUAAUGGACUUAAGUUGCUCCAGGGGAGGUUCAGAUUGGAUAUUAGGAAACAUUUCUUCUCAAAAAGGCAGUCAAGCACUGUUACAGGCUGCACGGGGAAGUGGUGGGGUCACUGUCCCUGGAGGUGUUCCAGAACCAUGGAGAUGUGGCUCUGAGGGAUGUGGUCAGUGGGCAUGGUGGGAUGGGUUGGGGUUGGACUUGGCGAUCUUAGAGCUCUUUUCCAACAUCAGUGAUUCCGUGAUUCUAUGAUUCAUUGAGUGGUCCUAGACAAAGCAAGCAGGGUCCCGUGGGGAGGUGGUGACAUGUGAGAAGAAUUGCCUGGUUUCACUCCAGUUCCCUGCAGAAAUGUUCCUCACCUCUUUGCCAUCACCAAAAUAAUGGUGUAACGAGCAUGCUUAGCUCCCAAAGUGCCACAAAAUCUGUGCAAACCCAAGCAAUGGCUGCAACCAUGGUGUUCUGCAGGGACAGACAUCUCUGAUGCCUUGGUCUGCCCAGAAAAUCCGAAUAACAAAAUUUCUCUGUGUUCCAUUCUUCAGACUAAUGCCUGAGUCUGAAUCCUUUUCUUUCUUUCUUUCUUUCUUUCGUUCUUGUUUUCCUUUUUAAUCUGGUGAUAUUUUUUUCCCUCUGAACACAGUUCCCCCCUUCACUUCACAGCAUUUCAAAGCUCUUUCCUCUCCCUGGACGGAGCCUUAGCAAACAAUAUCGAUGAUCUAAGUUUCUCUCCAAAAUGAAAGAAGGAAUAUGCUCCCUGGUGCUCUUGUGUAUGGUGUGAACACGAUCCCCGCAGAGAAGAGUUUGCAAAUGAAAUGUGACAAGUACUUCUCAUGAUUGCAUCUCUUCCCUAAUCACUUUUGGCUGCAUGAGGAGCAGCCACCCUUCUCCUUCUUGUAAAUUCUGUUAGGACAGACAUGGCCCCACUGUCAGAGAAUCUAGUGGGGGUCAGCCUCUUCUUCCAGGUAACUAGUGAUAGGACAAGAGGGAAUGGCCCCAAGUUGCUCCAGGGGAGGUUCAGGUUGUAUAUUAGGUAGAGUUUCUUCUCUGAAAGAGUGGUCAGGUUGCCCAGGCUGCCCAGGGAGGUGGUGGGGUCACCGUCUCUGAAGGUGUUUAAGGAAAGAUUAGAUGUAGUACUUAGGGACUUGGUUUACUGGGCAAUAUUGGAAGUUGAUGGAUAGCUGGACUAGAAUCACAGAGUCAUAGAAUCAUAAAGGCUGGAAAAGAUCUCUCAGAUCCCCAACCCCAAUCCACCCCCACCAUGCCCACUGACCAUGUCUCUCAGUGCCACAUCUCCACGGUUCUGAACAUCUCCAGGGACACUGACCCCAUCACUCCCUGGGCAGCCUGUGCCACUGCCUGACCACUCCUUAUGAGAACAAAUGUUUCCUAAUAUUCAACCUGACCAACUCUUGGUGCAACCUGAGGAAACUUCAGUCCUCCCCUUUUCCAGAGCUGGAGGAGGUUAGAAGUAUCUGGAGGACUGAGGUGAAGUUUUGGGAAAAUCACAUUUUCCCUGGCAAAAUCUGAACCUGGUGGUGCUCAUUUUGUUGGCCCCUGCGCAGGAAACACUGUCCAGAAAGGUGAGACAUUGCUGGGAGUUGGCUUCCAUCACCCCCAUACAUCCCAUCUCUUCCCAUAGGGCUCUUGUGCAUGCUGUGAUAAGCACAUGUCAAAUUCGAUAACAGGGAUUUGGAUGAGCAAAAUACGUGGCUCAGAGGAUGCUUUCCCCUCUCACCAUGAGACUGGAUGUGUGUACAUUGCCAGACAGCAGAGACUUUGCUUUUUCUAUGGAUGGAGGCACUUUGGGACACAUGAAGGGUUGAAUCCACAGACACAGACCAUUGAGCACUCCCCAGAGGAGCCCCGUAGAUGAAUCUGCCUCCAUAUGAAUAUGAUUCUAUGAUGAAUAUGAUUCUAUGAUUCUAUGAAGCAGCACUGCUUCAGUCAAAAUGAAAAGGAAACACACACACACACACAAAACAAAUCAGCAGUCAGUUUUCAAGCUGGAAAUCCAUGCAUUUUCCUAAGAAAGGCUUGUACUCCUCUUAAUUCUUCCUAAUACUAUUUGCACUCCUUCCUAUGCUGUGGGAAAUAAGCUGUUCCAUUUUAAUUGGGAGAACUGCAACAAUAGCUUGUUUAAAUGCAUUUUGGGUCCACCCAGAGCAAAAUCCAAAGAAUAUAACCAGAUUAAAAAACGCGGUAUUACCACUGCCCCUCCCUCCAAAACAGAGAAAAAAUGAUUUCAGGAUGCACUAUGAUAAGAUAUUACUUUUUCAACUCUCAAAGGAAAGGUUUCAUUUUGUUAUGUCCCCACCUCAUCUCACUUGUAGAGUAAUCACUGCAUUUUGCUAAAUUUUUAAAAUGGGCAGCACUGGAAAAUCAAAAAUCAAAACAUUCCCUCUGACAAAGUUAUUAAAAUUGAAACGCUGUGACUCUGCUGCAGCAGAUUAAUUCUAAAAAGCAACCCAAAAAGAGGAAAAAAAAUUCCUAUAAGUGGCUUUUGACCAAAUGACUGGAAAAUGAGUUCACUGAGAGUUUCACUCAAGCCAAAUCUGCAUUUUGCGGCAUAAUAAACUAUUUGACCAAACAUCA